This 253-nucleotide ribosomal RNA is filed under the name uncultured bacterium. RNAcentral describes it as "partial 16S ribosomal RNA". It matches the Rfam family "Bacterial small subunit ribosomal RNA", at positions 524 to 776 of the family's 1533-position model. The record is from RNAcentral.
GACGUAGGGUCCGAGCGUUGUCCGGAAUUACUGGGCGUAAAGAGCUCGUAGGUGGUUUGUCGCGUUGUUCGUGAAAACUCACAGCUCAACUGUGGGCGUGCGGGCGAUACGGGCAGACUAGAGUACUGCAGGGGAGACUGGAAUUCCUGGUGUAGCGGUGGAAUGCGCAGAUAUCAGGAGGAACACCGGUGGCGAAGGCGGGUCUCUGGGCAGUAACUGACGCUGAGGAGCGAAAGCGUGGGGAGCGAACAGG